UCGAAUGGGAAGAUUCAGCGUCAGCGGCGCUAACUCGGCGGAUCGUGCGUCGUCUCGGAUUUCGGUCUUGGGACGGCGYGUUCUUUCCAUGCCUUGUUUGGCGUCGUCGUCGUGCACUUCUUYCCUAGUAGAACGUCGCGACCCGUUGGGUGCCGGUCUACGGUCCGAGCGGUAGACUGUCGCGUCGCUUCGGCGCACGCGGCAGACCCUCGGUCACCCGGCCGGCUGCCCGGCGGUCGAACAUAUAAGGUAUCUUGCCGCAAUUAUCGAACUGCGUCGGGCCCGUCGCAAGCGAGGCCAGUGUCUUACGGAGUUACCGGACCUGGUGCCGUACCCGUGGCUGGCCAGCUGUUGGCAGACGGAGUCCUUUGACGGGCAAUACACAAUGAUACCGGUCUGCGACGCUACUGCUUUGGGUACU
This 421-nucleotide ribosomal RNA is filed under the name Polistes humilis (Australian paper wasp). Its description in RNAcentral is "eukaryotic LSU rRNA". The record is from RNAcentral. Lineage: Eukaryota; Metazoa; Arthropoda; Insecta; Hymenoptera; Vespidae.